CCGAAACUGCUCCAGGAGCUCUAGUGUCACUUGAAUUACUUUUAUUCAAACAUAAAUUAAAUAUUUACAAACAGACAUCCUGGUAAAACUUCCUUAUUCUUUUAGCUCUUACACAACUCUAAAACCAAAACAAACUUAAAAAUCAAGUACAAACAAAACUACAAGACCAGUCCAUUUCACGUUAACGUCCUUAAUUUAAGGUGAGGGACGAUGUCUUUCGGCUGCAACCAGAUGUCUGCGUCGAGGUCCCAGGCCAGCCCCAGAUUCAUCUGAGUGUGAGUGCAGGUGUCUGCUACCACUUCUGGGUGAUGACAAUGAUCUCACAACCUUCUCUGGGUGCAAGCACUCCAGACACCUUCAUUCACGUAGAAUGGCGUUGGCAACAUUUCUGUAAAGGGUCAGAUGAUAAACAUUUUAGGCUUUGCAGGCCCCUGCUACAACCACUCAAUUCCGCCAUCCUAGCUCAAAAGCCCUCACAGACAGGCCAUAAACGGGCGGGCGCGGGUGUGCUCCAGUCAAACUUUACUGACACAACAAGCAGUGGCCAGAAUUAGUUCAGAGGCUCUGGGUCAACCUUUGUUCCAGGGCAAAGUGGAAAACUGGUGGGAAUUCUGUUCAGCUGUGGACACACCCUCGACAGGCCAGGAGACCGCUGUGGAAGGAGGAGUCACUGCCACAGCCGCCCAUCGGAUGUAUUCACAACGACAGGCUACAGGCUGGACUGGGGCCACAAGCCUGGACAGCAGACAGCGUCACAGCACUAUCACCUCUUCACUUCACAUCUGUGUUCAAACCAGCUCACAGCAAGAAUGACUAUCUUGCCACUUCCCUUGGCCCAGAAUGGGGUUUCCACCCACCGGCCCUCAACCUCAGGAGGCUCAGAGAUGCCUGCAGGUCCUCACCACUUGGUUCCUGCUGGGACAUCCAGAAGGGCCGGGUAAUUAUGGACUUUUCACAUUAGCCACCAGAGUCCAAUGCAUACUGACAGAGUCUGAGCGCCAUGCCGUUAUAGUUCUGAAUCUCAAAACGCAGUAAGAAAGGAAACUUGGCAACAGUCUUUUUAAUUUGGUACCUUUUUACCCACACUGCGAGGCAUUUGGGAUCAGAGUGCUGAUUCUCUUUAUGAAGCUCUUCUAUAUACAGAAUCACAGCCUACCUUUAACUUGGAGCCUGACACUCGAGACAAUUUCAUUAUUAUUAUUACGCUUCAAUUUUAGACAAAAAACACAUUUUGAAAGAAAAAAGUGCCAAGAAAUACUAUAACUUGGAUAAGAAACAGUCUCAUUUAUUAGAGUCUUUCUUGUAGGGAAGAAAACUUCCCCACACACGUCCCCUCACCUGGCUACUCUUCUCUUCCCAAGACAGUCAAUUCAGGGAAAAAAGAGGAAUAAAAUCUGAUUCUG
This 1403-nucleotide long non-coding RNA is filed under the name Equus caballus (horse). RNAcentral describes it as "lncRNA (ENSECAG00000053950.1)". Lineage: Eukaryota; Metazoa; Chordata; Mammalia; Perissodactyla; Equidae. The record is from RNAcentral.